RNAcentral lists this long non-coding RNA (324 nucleotides) under Carica papaya (papaya). RNAcentral's name for it is "long non-coding RNA (CPAP_LNC004851)". Lineage: Eukaryota; Viridiplantae; Streptophyta; Magnoliopsida; Brassicales; Caricaceae. The record is from RNAcentral.
UACGAAGGCAAUAACAUCAUCAUCAUCAUGAAAUCAUAUAUAAACUAUAUAACAUAAUACUUAUCAAGCCUUUCGUAAUUCAAUCGUUACACAACAUAUUUUCCUCAUUUACCAGCCCACUAGUAUCCAUGGGGAUCCAUAGGGGUCCCGCUACCCGUUAACCCUUAACACUUGAAAUCAGAUUCCAGGGCCGUCCCCAUACCCCGUCCGGUAUGGGCGCCGAAACUAUAAACCUCAUUACCCCGUCCGGUAUGAGAGUGAAACGGGCCGUCCCCAUACCCCGUCCGAUAUGGGCGCCAAAACACAUAAGAUCUCCAUACCCCG